UACGUAGGUGGCAAGCGUUGUCCGGAAUUAUUGGGCGUAAAGCGCGCGCAGGCGGUUUCUUAAGUCUGAUGUGAAAGCCCACGGCUUAACCGUGGAAGGUCAUUGGAAACUGGGAGACUUGAGUGCAGAAGAGAAGAGCGGAAUUCACGGUGUAGCAGUGAAGUGCGUAGAUAUCGUGAGGAACACCAGAGGCGAAGGCGGUUCUCUGGGCCUGUACUGACGCUGAGGAGCGAAAGCGUGGGGAGCGAACAGG
This 253-nucleotide ribosomal RNA is filed under the name uncultured bacterium. Its description in RNAcentral is "partial 16S ribosomal RNA". It matches the Rfam family "Bacterial small subunit ribosomal RNA", at positions 524 to 776 of the family's 1533-position model. The record is from RNAcentral.